UUGGAUGUAUGGAGAUGAUCAAAGAGAGCAAAUCCAGAUUCUAUAUUGCAAGGAGAUGUCUGGCCAUGCUCAUCUGUUGGCAUAAAUAUGAUGGGAGCUGGUAAUGUUGGAGACAAUGGCACCUUCCUAGGAGGCUUCGGUAACAACAGUUUAUGUUUGUUUUUGGAUUCUCUCUGUUCCAUGACAACCCCAUUGUAUGAUAAAACUCCUCUGUUCCUCUCAUUUUUCUGCUAAAUCUCCAAUGAAAACGACACGCUCCAACGUCCCUCCCUA
This is a long non-coding RNA of Cucurbita pepo subsp. pepo (vegetable marrow), 273 nucleotides long. RefSeq lists it as uncharacterized. NCBI's taxonomy places the organism in Eukaryota, Viridiplantae, Streptophyta, Magnoliopsida, Cucurbitales, Cucurbitaceae. The record is from RefSeq and is a predicted model, not a curated record.